ACUCCUACGGGAGGCAGCAGUGGGGAAUAUUGCACAAUGGGCGCAAGCCUGAUGCAGCCAUGCCGCGUGUAUGAAGAAGGCCUUCGGGUUGUAAAGUACUUUCAGCAGUGAGGAAGGCAGGUACGUUAAUAGCGUGCUUGUUUGACGUUAGCUGCAGAAGAAGCACCGGCUAACUCCGUGCCAGCAGCCGCGGUAAUACGGAGGGGUGCGAGCGUUAAUCGGAAUUACUGGGCGUAAAGCGCAUGCAGGUGGUUUGUUAAGUCAGAUGUGAAAGCCCGGGACUCAACCUCGGAAUUGCAUUUGAAACUGGCAGACUAGAGUACUGUAGAGGGGGUAGAAUUUCAGGUGUAGCGGUGAAAUGCGUAGAGAUCUGAAGGAAUACCGGUGGCGAAGGCGGCCCCCUGGACAGAUACUGACACUCAGAUGCGAAAGCGUGGGGAGCAAACAGGAUUAGAUACCCUGGUAGCACAGAG
RNAcentral lists this ribosomal RNA (473 nucleotides) under uncultured bacterium. Its description in RNAcentral is "bacterial SSU rRNA". It matches the Rfam family "Bacterial small subunit ribosomal RNA", at positions 335 to 799 of the family's 1533-position model. The record is from RNAcentral.